UACGUAGGGAGCAAGCGUUGUCCGGAAUCAUUGGGCGUAAAGAGCGUGUAGGCGGCUCGGUAAGUCCGCUGUGAAAGUCCAGGGCUCAACCCUGGAAUGCCGGUGGAAACUGUCGAGCUAGAGUCCGGAAGAGGCGAGUGGAAUUCCUGGUGUAGCGGUGAAAUGCGCAGAUAUCAGGAGGAACACCAAUGGCGAAGGCAGCUCGCUGGGACGGCACUGACGCUGAGACGCGAAAGCGUGGGGAGCAAACAGG
RNAcentral lists this ribosomal RNA (253 nucleotides) under uncultured bacterium. RNAcentral describes it as "partial 16S ribosomal RNA". It matches the Rfam family "Bacterial small subunit ribosomal RNA", at positions 524 to 776 of the family's 1533-position model. The record is from RNAcentral.